RNAcentral lists this transfer RNA (96 nucleotides) under Ralstonia pickettii. RNAcentral's name for it is "tRNA-???(ggtg)". Lineage: Bacteria; Pseudomonadati; Pseudomonadota; Betaproteobacteria; Burkholderiales; Burkholderiaceae. The record is from RNAcentral.
CAUCGGCUGGUCGAAGGACCAGCGUGACAGCGCCUUGGUGCCGACGCGUGGUCGCUACCAGCAGGCCAACCUGGAGUUCGGUAUCCCGGGCGGCGA